AUUGAACGCUGGCGGCACGCCUAACACAUGCAAGUCGAGCGGUAACAUGCUUAGUAGCAAUACUAAGUGAUGACGAGCGGCGGACGGGUGAGGAACACGUAGGAACCUGCCAAAAGUGGGGGAUGACUAAGGGAAACUGUAGCUAAUACCGCAUAAUUCUCUGAGGAGAAAAGUUGCCCGUAAGGGUAGCGCUUUUGGAGGGGCCUGCGUCCGAUUAGUUAGUUGGUGAGGUAAUGGCUCACCAAGACUGUGAUCGGUAACUGGUCUGAGAGGACGACCAGUCACACUGGGACUGAGACACGGCCCAGACUCCUACGGGAGGCAGCAGUGGGGAAUCUUGGACAAUGGGGGCAACCCUGAUCCAGCGAUGCCGCGUGGGUGAAGAAGGCCUUCGGGUUGUAAAGCCCUUUAGGCUGGGAAGAAGAGUGUGGGAUGAAUAAUCCUGUACUUUGACGGUACCAGCAGAAUAAGCACCGGCAAACUCUGUGCCAGCCGCCGCAGUAA
RNAcentral lists this ribosomal RNA (504 nucleotides) under uncultured bacterium. RNAcentral's name for it is "partial 16S ribosomal RNA". It matches the Rfam family "Bacterial small subunit ribosomal RNA", at positions 30 to 523 of the family's 1533-position model. The record is from RNAcentral.